CUGAACCAUCUUAGUAACAAAAGGAAAAAAAAUCAAACGAGAUUUUGUAAGUAGUGGCGAACGAAAACAAAAUAUUAGGCUUAAUAUAAAAAUCUAUUUAAUAUGAAACUGCCAUAGAAGGUAUAAGCCCUGUAAUAUUAGAGAUUUUAUUUUUAAAGUAAUACGAUUAAAAUUUCGUAUGAAUUAAGGGAACACCACUUUCCAAGCCUAAAUACUUUUUAUAACCGAUAGUGCACAAGUACCGUGAGGGAAAACUGAAAAGAAAGGUUAAAAACCUUAAUUUUAAACUUGAAAUUGGAUGUUUACAAUCAGUUGUAGUAUAUAAAAUUAUUUAUAUUGCAGCGUACCUUUUGUAUAAUGGACCAACAAGUAAAAAAUUAUAGCGAGCUUAAUUGUGUAAAAAGUAGGCUGAAGUAAAUUAAUUUAUCUUAGUUAUAAUUUUUUGACCCGAAGCUAAGUGAUCUAAUCGAGAGCAGAUUGAAAUUGUACGAAUUAUGUACGAUGGAGGAUCGAACCCGUAUAUGUAGCAAAAUGUUGGGAAGACUUUUGAUUAGGAGUGAAAGGCUAAUCAAACUUAGCGAUAGCUGGUUUUCUACGAAAUCUAUUUUAGUAGAGUGUCUUAUAGGUUUAUUUCAGGUAAAGCUCUUAACAGAAAAAGGUGAUUUUCAAUCUUACUAAUUCUGUUUAAACUCCGAAUUGUAAUAAAUUAUUUUAAGAUAAACAGACAUUGGGCGAUAAGGUUCAAUGUCGAAAGGGCAACAACCCAGAUCUCUUGUUAAGGUUCUUAAAAAAUAUAUAAGUUAAUAAGGAUGUUAUUAUAGUACAAUAUAAUUAGGUGGGCUUAGAAGCAGCCAUCCAUUGUAAAACGUGUUACAACGUGUUAUUUUAUAUAAUAGCUCCAAAAAUAAUAGGAAAUUAAUAUAUUUACCGAAACAGAGGAUAUAUAUAUAUAUAUAUAUCUGGUAGUAGAACGUUCUAUAUAAAUUAUUUGUUUAAGUUUGAAAAAACUUAAACAAUUUUAUUAGAAGUGAAAAUGUUGGUAUGAGUAGCGAAAAUUAUGAUUUAUAAAAUCAUAAUCACCGAAAGUCCAAGGGGUUCUAUGCAAUUUUAACCACAUAGAAUUAAUCGGUUUCUAAAAAGUUACAUGAAAAUGUAAUUUGAUGAAAUUAAUGUUGAAAAUCAUUAAUCAUUUAUGGUUGAUGUUUCACAACACGACAGAAUUUUAUUGUUGUUUAUAAAUAAAGAUUUUUUUAUAAGCAACAGUAGAAUUCUCAAGAAAUAAUCAUAAUUUAGUGACCGUACUAAGACCGACACAGGUGGACUGGUUUUACAAAACUAAGGUGAUUGAGUUAACCAUAUUGAAGGAAUUCGGCAAAUUAGCUCCGUAAGUUUGCAAGAAGGAGUAUCACAUAUUUUGUGGUGACACUAAAGAGGGAGUAGCGACUGUUUACUAAAAACACAGGACUUUGCAAAUUUGUGAAAAAAUGUAUAAAGUCUGACGUUUGCCAAGUAUUCGUAGGUUAAUUUAUAAGGUGUUAGCUUUAUAAGUAAACCCGAGUAAACGGCGGUCCUAACUAUAAGGAUCCUAAGGUAGCGUAACCCACUGACGUAUAAUUUACGUCCUGCAUGAAUAACGUAACGACUGCUCCACUGUCUCCAGUAUGGUCUCAGCGAAAUUGAAUUCUCCGUGAAGAUGCGGAGUACCUGCAGUUAGACGGAAAGACCCCGUGAUUCUUUACUAUAGUUUUGCAUUGUUAUUUUUAAAAAUAUGUAUAGUGUAAGUGGGAAUUAUAUAUUAUAGAUUAAUCUAUAAUAUAUAAUGAAAAGUGGAAUACCACUCUUAUUUUUUUGGAUAGCUUACUUUUUAUCUAUGAAAGGACAUUGCAAAAUGGUUAGUUUAUUUGGGGCGAAUACCUCCUAAAAAGUAACGGAGGUGCACAAAGGCAAAUAAGAACUCAUUUUUAAAUGAGUUUAUAAAUGUAAUGGUACAAAUUUGCUUGAUUGAAGAACUUAUAAGUUCUUUAAAGAUAAAAAGUCAGUCAUAGUGAUCCGAUAAAACUUUGUGGAAAGAUUAUCGCUUAACAGAUAAAAGAAACUCCGGGGAUAACAGCGUUAUCGUUCCUAAGAGUCCUUAUCGACGGAACGGUUUGCGACCUCGAUGUCGGCUCAUCAUAUCCUGGAGCUGUAGUAGGUUCCAAGGGUCCGGGUGUUCACCGGUUAAAAUGGUACGUGAGCUGGGUUUAAAACGUCGUGAGACAGUUUGGUCCCUAUCUGCUGUAGGCAUUGAAAAUUGAGGGAUUAUAUUUCUAGUACGAGAGGAUCGAAGUAUAUUAAUCACUGAUGAACCAGUUGUUUUUAAUCGAUGCAUAGCUGGGUAGUUACAUUAAUUUAAUAUAAAUACUGAAAGCAUAUAAGUAUGAAGAUUUUCCCAAGAUAAAUUUUCGAGAAUAUUCUGAAAGACCAUCAGAUAGAUCGGUUCAAAGUUAUUAUCUUGUAAUAGAUGUGCUUAUGAAUACGAAAAUAUCAUGUGUUCAUGUUUGAAAACGGAAAUUCCGUUUUCAAACAUGAUUUUUUUA
This 2576-nucleotide ribosomal RNA is filed under the name Cyanidiococcus yangmingshanensis. RNAcentral's name for it is "23S ribosomal RNA". It matches the Rfam family "Bacterial large subunit ribosomal RNA". Lineage: Eukaryota; Rhodophyta; Bangiophyceae; Cyanidiales; Cyanidiaceae. The record is from RNAcentral.